UCCAGUAGGAAAAACAGGAGAGAUUGGA
RNAcentral lists this non-coding RNA (28 nucleotides) under Rattus norvegicus (Norway rat). Lineage: Eukaryota; Metazoa; Chordata; Mammalia; Rodentia; Muridae. The record is from RNAcentral.